GGUCCUACGUAUACACAUCGACUCACCAUCAUCGUUAUCAUCUUUAUAUCGAAUUCAAAUCCUAUGAAUUCACGUUUUGUCACAGUACGUUUCGUUCUUGAUUAUGAACUAAUUAUUCUCAUUGGAUUUCAUCUUCUUGUCUUCUUAUAGUUGACUGCAUAUACAUAGUGGGAAAAAAAUAAGUCUUGAAGAGACAGACAGCAGAGAUGGCUGGAGGAGCUUUUACAGAUGGGGGACCUCUAAAGAGGGCUCAUCUUUAUGAGCAUAAAAUCACUGGUUAUUUCAUCUUUGCUUGCAUUGUUGCGGCUCUUGGAGGAUCCCUUUUUGGGUAUGAUCUUGGUGUGUCAGGUGGAGUCACUUCCAUGGAUGAUUUCUUGAAGGAAUUCUUCCCUACUGUGUAUGAAAAGAAGCAUGCACAUCUUCACGAGACAGAUUACUGUAAAUAUGAUAACCAAAUCCUCACCCUAUUUACUUCCUCCCUGUACUUUGCAGCCCUUGUUGCCACAUUUGGAGCCUCAUAUGUAACCAGAACUAGAGGCCGGAAAGCUAGCAUCCUUGUCGGAUCUACUAGCUUCUUUAUUGGAGCAAUUGUCAAUGCAUUUGCAAAGAAUAUUGCAAUGCUGAUCAUAGGGAGAUGUUUUCUUGGUGGAGGAAUUGGAUUUGGCAACCAGGCUGUUCCCUUGUAUCUUUCAGAAAUGGCUCCUGCAAAAAUCCGAGGAGCAGUUAACCAACUGUUUCAACUAACAACUUGUUUGGGGAUCCUGGCUGCAAACUUUAUAAAUUAUGGAACUGAAAAGAUUCAUCCAUGGGGAUGGAGGUUAUCUCUUGGUUUGGCAACUGUUUCUGCUACAAUAAUGUUCGCUGGGGGAAUUUUCCUUCCUGAGACUCCAAACAGUCUUAUAGAACAAGGCAGGCUAGAAGAAGGAAGAAGAAUACUGGAGAAAGUUAGGGGUACCACACAAGUUGAUGCUGAGUUUGAUGAUCUUGUCGAUGCAAGUAAUGCAGCACGAGCCAUAAAGCAUCCUUUCAAGAAUCUUCUUAAACGCAAGAAUCGCCCACAGUUGGUGAUUGGGGCUUUGGGAAUUCCAGCAUUCCAACAACUCACUGGAAAUAACUCUAUACUUUUCUAUGCUCCAGUAAUUUUUCAGAGUUUGGGUUUCAGCAAUGAUGCAGCUUUAUUUUCAUCUGUUAUAACCAAUGCAGCACUUGUUGUUGGUGCUCUAAUGUCCAUGGCUUUCGUGGACAAAUUUGGCAGAAGAGCUUUCUUCUUGGAAGCCGGGGCUGAGAUGUUCAUCGUCAUGGUAGCUGUGGGCAUAACUUUGGCCUUGGAUUUUGGAGA
RNAcentral lists this unclassified non-coding RNA (1339 nucleotides) under Hevea brasiliensis (rubber tree). Lineage: Eukaryota; Viridiplantae; Streptophyta; Magnoliopsida; Malpighiales; Euphorbiaceae. The record is from RNAcentral.